Mus musculus (house mouse) is the source of this 559-nucleotide RNA transcript. It is a transcript of the gene named predicted gene 6607, with no coding region annotated. The record is from RefSeq and is marked validated. The transcript has a single exon. NCBI's taxonomy places the organism in Eukaryota, Metazoa, Chordata, Mammalia, Rodentia, Muridae.
GGAAAUGUAAACGAGGAAAAUAACUAAUAAAAAAAAAAAAGAAAGAAGGGGAAAAAAAAAGAAAAGAAAUUAGGGCCUUUCUGAGACCUGGUGGUGUAUGCUGCAGAGCUCAGGCCAGUCUGCUCCGUCCUGACUCACCUCUGUUCGAUUUUGCUGAGGAAUAAGUCAGUCAGGAAGCCGCACCUCCGCCAUGGCAUUUAAAGAUACCCAAGUGGCGAUUCACCAAAUUCGAAUCACGCUCACCAGCCGCUCGCUGGAGAAGGUUGGUACGGACUUGAUCAGAGGUGCAGAGGAAAAGAAUCUGAAAGUGAAAGGACCGGUGUGCACACCUACCAAGACUUUGAGAAUCACUGCCAGAAAAACACCUUGUGGUGAAGGUUCCAAGACAUGGGAUCGUUUCCAGAUGAGGAUCCACAAGCGACUAUGAUUUACAUAGUCCUACUGAGAUUGUUAAGCAGAUUUCUUCCAUCAGUAUUGAGCCAGGAGCUGAGGUUGAAGUCACCAUUGCAAAUGCCUAACACAACUGAAUAAAUCGACUUGUUCAAUUAAAAAAAAAAAA